CACAUCGUACAACAGUGCGAUGUACACAUUUUUGAGUGCCU
This 41-nucleotide ribosomal RNA is filed under the name Culex usquatus. Its description in RNAcentral is "partial 5.8S ribosomal RNA". The record is from RNAcentral. Lineage: Eukaryota; Metazoa; Arthropoda; Insecta; Diptera; Culicidae.